RNAcentral lists this ribosomal RNA (264 nucleotides) under uncultured archaeon. RNAcentral's name for it is "partial 16S ribosomal RNA". It matches the Rfam family "Archaeal small subunit ribosomal RNA", at positions 714 to 982 of the family's 1478-position model. The record is from RNAcentral.
AGACGUCUACAUUAGAUACCCCCGUAGUCCCAGCCGUAAACUAUGCGCGUUAGGUGUACUGGUGACCACGAGUCACCGGGGUGCCGAAGGGAAACCGUGAAACGUGCCGCCUGGGAAGUACGGUCGCAAGGCUGAAACUUAAAGGAAUUGGCGGGGAGCACCACAACAGGUGGAGCCUGCGGUUUAAUUGGAUUCAACGCCGGGAAGCUCACCGGAUAGGACAGCAGAAUGAUUGCCGGGCUGAAGACCCUGCAUGACUAGCUG